This 426-nucleotide ribosomal RNA is filed under the name uncultured bacterium. RNAcentral's name for it is "bacterial SSU rRNA". It matches the Rfam family "Bacterial small subunit ribosomal RNA", at positions 28 to 457 of the family's 1533-position model. The record is from RNAcentral.
GAUGAACGCUGGCGGCGCGCCUAACACAUGCAAGUCGAACGGCACCUGCCUUCGGGCAGAAGCGAGUGGCGAACGGCUGAGUAACACGUGGAGAACCUGCCCCCUCCCCCGGGAUAGCCGCCCGAAAGGACGGGUAAUACCGGAUACCCCGGGGUGCCGCAUGGCACCCCGGCUGAAGCCCCGACGGGAGGGGAUGGCUCCGCGGCCCAUCAGGUAGACGGCGGGGUGACGGCCCACCGUGCCGACAACGGGUAGCCGGGUUGAGAGACCGACCGGCCAGAUUGGGACUGAGACACGGCCCAGACUCCUACGGGAGGCAGCAGUGGGGAAUCUUGCGCAAUGGGGGGAACCCUGACGCAGCGACGCCGCGUGCGGGACGGAGGCCUUCGGGUCGUAAACCGCUUUCAGCAGGGAAGAGUCAAGACU